Molecule: unclassified non-coding RNA, 765 nt
Filed under: Bombus terrestris (buff-tailed bumblebee)
Lineage: Eukaryota; Metazoa; Arthropoda; Insecta; Hymenoptera; Apidae
Description: misc RNA ENSBTSG00005029597.1
Source: RNAcentral
UUUGCCUAUGCUCGAAGAAAAGCCCAGUUCUCCGAUUUUGUCCUCUUCUUUGGUUAAAUCUUCUUUUACCCUCGAUUCACUUGAUUGUUUGAUCGUCGACGAUCUAUCUAUCACGUUACGAUGUACCUUUAUAAAUAUUGUCGAUACAGACGUUGUCCGACUCUGCGCACGCGCUGCCACAAGUAUAUGCUAGUAGUUUGCAUAGUCACGGUACUGCCUCACCGAUUUCCAGCACACUGGUGUUCCCUUCUCGCCACCACUUCAACUCUGCUCCGGUUAUGUAUAUUUAUAUCUUUUAGCAACAUCGAUCCGGACCUGGUAGGCUCCCUCUGUUGAAACUGGCCAAUCAACGAUUCGCUCACCCCACUACUAGUAUACAGCAGUCAUAUUGGGGACACGUCGAAUGUAUUUACGUUUGAGGACAAAACGUCGAUAUUUACCGGGCCACUGCAACCUUAGACAUUGCGACUUUUUACAUAGUAUUUUACAAAUCUGCGUGAAAAUAUCAACAGCGGUCAUGGAGGAAUCUGUUUCCAGCUGAACACGGAAGAUGGCAGGACGGUUCCUAAUCAAUACAAAUUGAUUGUUUGAUGCGUUGAAGCUGUUUUACCUUUCCCUACGCUAGUGGCGCUGCGUGAUAUUCUCAAUGUUAUCAUUCAUCAUAUCGAUAUAAUGUGGCGUUUACACUUUGGACACUUUUUGAAGCGACUGUGUUAUGUUUGAAUGCGAUCUGCGUUUUAAACGAAGAAAGAUUUCUUGCAAAAG